ACACGACUACAUUAGAUACCCGGGUAGUCCUAGCCGUAAACGAUACUCGCUAGGUGUCGGCCACGGUGCGACCGUUGUCGGUGCCGUAGGGAAGCCGUGAAGCGAGCCACCUGGGAAGUACGGCCGCAAGGCUGAAACUUAAAGGAAUUGGCGGGGAGCACCACAACGGGUGGAGCCUGCGGUUUAAUUGGACUCAACGCCGGGAAGCUCACCGGAUAAGACAGCGGAAUGAUUGCCGGGCUGAAGACCCUGCGUGACCAGCUG
Molecule: ribosomal RNA, 264 nt
Filed under: uncultured archaeon
Lineage: Archaea
Description: partial 16S ribosomal RNA
Rfam family: Archaeal small subunit ribosomal RNA
Source: RNAcentral